This 428-nucleotide ribosomal RNA is filed under the name Neisseria flava. Its description in RNAcentral is "bacterial SSU rRNA". It matches the Rfam family "Bacterial small subunit ribosomal RNA", at positions 30 to 452 of the family's 1533-position model. Lineage: Bacteria; Pseudomonadati; Pseudomonadota; Betaproteobacteria; Neisseriales; Neisseriaceae. The record is from RNAcentral.
AUUGAACGCUGGCGGCAUGCUUUACACAUGCAAGUCGGACGGCAGCACAGAGAAGCUUGCUUCUUGGGUGGCGAGUGGCGAACGGGUGAGUAACAUAUCGGAACGUACCGAGCAGUGGGGGAUAACUAAUCGAAAGAUUAGCUAAUACCGCAUAUUUUCUGAGGAAGAAAGCAGGGGACCAUUUGGCCUUGCGCUGUUUGAGCGGCCGAUAUCUGAUUAGCUAGUUGGUGGGGUAAAGGCCUACCAAGGCGACGAUCAGUAGCGGGUCUGAGAGGAUGAUCCGCCACACUGGGACUGAGACACGGCCCAGACUCCUACGGGAGGCAGCAGUGGGGAAUUUUGGACAAUGGGCGCAAGCCUGAUCCAGCCAUGCCGCGUGUCUGAAGAAGGCCUUCGGGUUGUAAAGGACUUUUGUCAGGGAAGAAAAG